CGUCUAUAUACGUAUAGCAUAUCAAUAAGCGGAGGAAAAGAAACUAACUAAGGAUUCCCUCAGUAACGGCGAGUGAAGCGGGAAGAGCUCAAAUUUGAAAUCUUCAAGGUUCUACCUUGACGAAUUGUAGUUUAAAGAAGUGUUUUCUGUUGGAGUUUUCGGUAAAAGUUCUUUGGAAUAGGACAUCAUAGAGGGUGAGAAUCCCGUAUUUGACCGUUACUUUCCAGCUGUGUGAUACACUUUCAAAGAGUCGGAUUGUUUGGGAAUGCAGUCCAAAAUGGGUGGUAAAUUUCAUCUAAAGCUAAAUACUGGCGAGAGACCGAUAGCGAACAAGUACCGUGAGGGAAAGAUGGAAAGAACUUUGAAAAGAGAGUUAAACAGUACGUGAAAUUGUCAAAAGGGAAGCGUUUGACACCAGUGUUGUUUUCUCGAAAAUCAAUUAAAAAUGGUGGGAUUUUGUGUUGUAUUGACUUUAUCAGCUUUCUGCACUUUUUUCCUGUCUUUUUUAAUGCACUUUUCGUUUAACAAGUCAACAUCAAUUUCUUUUGUUGUAAAAGGGUCAUUGGAAGGUGGCUUUCUUUUCGGAGAAAGUGUUUAUAGCCUUUGACUUCUGCAAUCGGAGAGAUUGAGGUCUGCAGCGUAGAUCCUUCGGGGUUAGAUACAUUUGUGCUAAGUUAUAGCCUUUCAUAGACAACUUGUUGACUAUGAUCAGUCAUGUAGCUUACUCGCUUAUGUUAUUUUACCUACGCUUAGGAUGUUGACGAUCAGCUGAGCGCG
Molecule: ribosomal RNA, 777 nt
Filed under: uncultured Neocallimastigales
Lineage: Eukaryota; Fungi; Neocallimastigomycota; Neocallimastigomycetes; Neocallimastigales
Description: partial large subunit ribosomal RNA
Rfam family: Eukaryotic large subunit ribosomal RNA
Source: RNAcentral